Lactuca sativa (garden lettuce) is the source of this 1536-nucleotide non-coding RNA. NCBI's taxonomy places the organism in Eukaryota, Viridiplantae, Streptophyta, Magnoliopsida, Asterales, Asteraceae. The record is from RefSeq and is a predicted model, not a curated record.
UGAUGUGUUUUUAAGGGGGAUGUUCUUGUAACAAAUGCACAUAGAAUUUUUAAAUAUGCAUUGAUUAACAUUCUUGGAGUAGUUAUAUAAUUUGCAACCUUUGUAAACCAUAUAUCAGGAAUUGUCACUAUUGGGAAUCUGAAUCUACUGAUUUUAUCCGUAUGUUUCUCAAUGGGUAUUUUUCGUAACCAACCCUGCAACGCGGGACUCUUCCCUAGUAUAGAUUAAUUCUAAAGUCCUUAGGAAACAGUACUUUGAUGUCAUUGGCUGGAUUUUGUUUUCCUUUUUUCUUUUUGAUAAUUAUACUGGAUAGUGGAUUAUUUUGGUUAAAUUUUUUAUCUGUCGUAUUUUUCUAGAUAGUGUUUUACAUGUGUUUUGAAGUCCCAUUUACCAUCUACGUGUUUUCGCCGGCUCCUUCCACGUACUCCAUAUUCCAAUGGCACCAUCUCUGGAUUCCAAUGGCAACCGACUGUGUAAGCCAAUAAGGAUUAGAUUUCUGUCCAAUGCUUCUUCUUUCGCUUAUUCCUCCACCGCCUAACGUUAAUCUCCACUGGUUUUCUUCUUCAGUUGGCUUUUCCUUUUGCUUAUUCGCUUGAUUUCUUGUGUUGCAUACCUCAUGCCGACCUUCCACUUUCUUUGUCUACGUCCUUAGCUGGGAAACCGUAACUCUCGCCUUCCAACCGUACGGCGAAAUCAAGGAUUGUAGCGUCGUCAUUGACCGUGUCACCGGGAAAGCAAAUGGCUUUUGGUUCCUUCAACUCCAUCUCUAUUACGCUUGUCGUUUCCUUAUCAGUUCAUUUGGGUUCUCUUUGACGUCGAUAGCUACCGCCUUCCACCGCCUGCUGCUUCGUCUUCCUCCUCAAAGCAAUCAAAGUCGGAGUCGCCGAUUUCUUUAUGAUGUCACAGUACCUUCCUGUUUUAGACAGAAGAGAACAAUCGCUUGAGGAAUAAACAAAGUUUCAGAAAUCGAUUCAACACAGAGUUGAUAUCAAGGGAUUAGAAAACGUUGAUAACCAGAAUGACUUGGUACAUGGAUGGGGUUUCGAUUUUGCACUUAGAAGAUGUGUACAUGUCAGUUUUCUUCACAAAUUGUAGAUUUUACUGUUUAAAAUAGAUGGAAAGUUCAUUUGUAUGCUCUAUGAGAUUACAAAAAAAGGAACCCACUUCAAGGUCUGCAUACCAGUUUGUCACACAAAAGUCUGCCUUCUUUGAUGCGUAGUGUCAUUUUGAUGGUAUGUUUUGACCUUUUGUCACUAUGAAUAACGGAUUUUAUUUGGAAAAAUUGGAAGUUUUACUCUUGUAAUUUGAAUACAGGCCGUUUCUUCUAAUCAUAGGAUACCAUUGAGAAGUAGUGACUAUUUAAUUGUGCUGUUGCCUGAUCCUGAUGCAUUAAAAAUGUAGUGGACUUUAGACUGCUACAAUGGCAAAUUGUUCUGUUUAUUUCUUCCUUCAUUUUAAGAUGCAUAUAGUCCUUACGAACAAUGAUUUUUGGACCUUGACUUUUUUGGCUACCAAGUUUGGUCGGAUUUUCAUUUA